This is an RNA transcript of Entelurus aequoreus (snake pipefish), 10274 nucleotides long. It is a transcript of the gene named mucin-2-like, with no coding region annotated. The transcript has 28 exons. Lineage: Eukaryota; Metazoa; Chordata; Actinopteri; Syngnathiformes; Syngnathidae. The record is from RefSeq and is a predicted model, not a curated record.
CAAAAUAUUGCGUCAUCAGCAAGAUGGCGGACGAGCGUCGUCUACUCCUUCGUUGCUGAUACUUGAUGAUUAAUGGACUUUUAUUUCUCUCAGGAAAAGCAUUUUUAACGAGGUCGGGAUGUUUCGGCGCUCGAGAUUCAGCGUUCGUCCUAAUGUGGGCGGACCUGGAAGGACGGGAGCCGCGCCGCAGGAAGCCACUCCAGGGGGUAAGGAGGCCAGCCAGGCACUCAAAGCCAUCAGUGAGGGUGCGCGUUUAUCCACAGUGGAUGACAGCAAGCCUGGUGACACUCCUGCGGCUGCACCUACUGCCUUAGGCGAUGGAAACGAGCCAAGUGGGGAAGCCUCGUCAGCUGCCGUCCAGAGGAGGAAGCGCUUCUCUGUCAAGCCCAGGGUGGCCCCGGGUCGACCCUCCAUCGUCCCUCGAGUGCCCAAGUCCCCCGCCAAGUUGGUCCCUGAGAGUCCGGCGAAGGUCUCAGAACUUGAGUCGACAACAUCAAAUGAAGUUAAAAGUCCAGCAGCCACACCCCAGGCCCCAUCUUCCCCGAUGCCCACGGCAGACAGCAAGCUACCUCACGUGCAACCCACCUUUGCCCCGCCUGAGGGGUGUGCUGACGCCCUAAAAGAAGCCCCCCCGCUGCCAGACCUUGGCAAACAGACAGAGAAGAGCACUAACAGUUCCAUAAAGGUUCCUCACAGACCGCUGGAUAAAGUUUCUCUGCCAGACAGAGAGGCUGCUGAACUGUCAGAGAAGGCCAAGACUCUUCUGUCGUCCAAGGGCAAGAAGUCCAUUGCCAGAUUCUCCCUGAGCCGACUUUUAAACGACCCCUCGGAUAUUCAGAGGCUGGAAAAUGCUGAGAAGCUACGGGAUCUGCUCAGACAGGAGAUGCGGAAAGAAAAAGGUAUCAAGAAGCGGAAGAAGCCCGUAAAGGAAUUUAGUGUGGAUCCUACCAAAAUGACUAUGAGGGACCUCAUCCGGUACUUACCGCUGUCCAACCCCAUGUCAUCCAGUUUAGAGGACGACACUGAGCAAAACGAGACCGUGACUCCGUUUACUCCAAGAAUGGAAAUACUGCCAGAGAGAGCGCAGGAACCGGAAGCAGAAGUUGUCCCCGCGGUGGUGGACCAAACGGAGGAGGAAGAGCAGGACGUUGAGGGGACGGGCCAGGGGGACGAGGACGACGACGACGCACUGAUGGUUCCGCAGGUCAAAGUUGCAGAAGAUGGAACCCUGAUCCUGGACGAGGAGAGUUUGACUGUGGAGGUCCAGAGAGCCAAAGGACCCAACCCGGCAGAGGACAGAGACCCCAUCUUUGAACGCGGCUCCACCACCACGUACUCCAGUUUCAGGGCCUCCACCUACUGCAAGCCUUGGUCCAGCGAAGAGACAGACAUGUUCUUCCUGGCUAUCAGCAUGGUGGGGACAGACUUCUCCAUGAUCUGUCAGCUCUUUCACAACAGAACGCGGUCGGAGAUAAGGAACAAGUUUAAGAAAGAGGAGAAACAGAAUUCCUGGAGAGUCGACAAAGCUUUUCGAGAGAGACGCAAACUGGACAUUGAGUAUUUUUCCAAGCUGCUAGAGAAGAUACUGGAAGUGCAGCAAAGCCGGAAGAAACUCAAGUCACUCGUGGUGAAGAACCCACCCAAGAAGAGCCAGGGGAAGUCAAAAGGCAGAAAGAGAAAGAAAGCUGCUGGCAAGCUCAGCGCCAGCGAGGAGGAAGACGAGGUGGAGGAGGACAGCCUCUUAUGCUCGGAGGCGGAGGACGGAGAGAAAGAGAACGAAGGAGGAACCCUGUCCUCUAAAGUCAAGAAGAAACUGAAAAGUAAGGUGGACGCCUCUGCUGCAAAGCCGGCAAAGAAGAAAAGUAAAACGAGUGAAAAGAGUAGCAAAGAAGGUGAAGAUGAGGCCUGCGUGCCCGAAGACACGGAAGCAGCCCUUCCUGAAGAUCAUCCUGACUCGGGAGUGUGUGAAAGUGCAGAGACGGAAAAAGCAUCCAACGGAGCCACGAUCAAACCCGCUAAGCUCCCGCGAGGUAGCGCGGCUAAAUCUGUGGGCCGAAAGUGCAGUAAAAAGCUCCCUCCCUCUCCUACCACGGCAGCCGAAGAUGGAGACGGGGAGUCCGCUAAACAGGGCGAGAGUGUGAAGGACGACGCCUCGAAAGACCAGGUCAACAAAGAGGCAUUACCUUCAAGAGAAGCCAGCGAUGAUGAUGUUGAUGACUCCUGUAGCGAUGAAGACUCUGGAGAUGAAGAUUACGCCGUUAAACCUGCGAAACCCACCAGAUCCGGGAGGAUCCCCAAACCUACUGCACUCUUAAGUUACCCUGCGCCCUCCACUCGGACCGCCCCCAAGAGGGACAGAACAACCAAGGCACCGCCUGCUGCCCCGUCGUCAAAAAAGCCCAAACUUGUUAUGCUGAGAGCGACUCAGUCCGAAUCAAGUGCGGAGGAGGAUGGGCAGGAGUUGGAGGAUGAAGAAAUGAAGGAGCUGUGGUGUGACGGCAGCACUCAGGCGUUUGUGCCCGCCAGCCUGCGCUCCCCCCACGCCGUCAUAUGCCAGGUCGAGGAAGCAGUAGAGGAGCUUGAUAUCUUGGCGGAUAUGUCUGUCUUGGACAUGUCCCAAGAUGAACUGUGCCUCAACUCUUCGUGCGAACGGGCCCAAUUUGAGACCGGAUCAAGAGAAACUUCUGCGCAUCAGCUAGACCUUCUGGUCGAUGUCAUAGACUUACUUUCUUCUGAGCACGCUGGAGUGUCUGAGGUGGAGAGCUACAAUGAGGCUGCUCAAACCCUGCUGGCUAUCGGCAAUGUCUCUCAUCCCUCGCAUUCAGACACCACGCAAGAUCAAAUCACAGGCGUACCGUCGGACAGUGGAAAUGAAACAAGUAGACGUUUGGAAGAGGAAAUUGUUGCGGAGUUCAUUGAAGAAAACACCUUCACACCAAUUAUGUCUGUACCUUCAGACCAGGAAGUCACGGAUGCAUUUGAAACUGCACCUGUUGGGCCAACAAACACAGAGUCCUCACCUCACAUUGGUGAGGAGACAUGCUGUGAACAGAGACACGUUUCAGAUCAUGACUUAACCCGACCGUUGCAAUCAAACACACGGACCAGAAUAGCUCGCUCAUCCAAGGUUAAACCAAAACCUAACUUGGCCAAGGCCUCAAGAGCUGCACAUUCCAGAACUCAACCAGAAACAUCUUCACAAGGGUCAACCAUGGAGAGCGAUAGUGUUGCUCCUGACCUGUCAAAAGACUUCUCUGAAGAACCGUCCUCAAAGAUAGCAAAAUGUAGUCAAUCUUCUGAAAAACAGACUUUUGACAUGGAUGCCAAGUCUACAAAUGCUGAAACAAGUGAAAGCACAGCAUUUGAUACUGCAGUCACAGAAACACUAGCUCAAGAGGCAGGUAGCGAUUAUGUUGCCAUACCAGUUGUACAUGAAGAUCAGAACUCUAGCGAACCCCCGUCAUCUCGACCCACCAGGACCACAACAAGUAAGGUAGAACCACAGCCAACUUGUACUUUCUCUCCUAAGAAAAUCAGUCCAAGUGCCAAUUCUUCUUCAUCGGAGACAACAACCAUGAGUUUGAGCUCUAAUCUGGUAGAGGAAGUAGCUUCUAGUGAGAUAGCAAAAUGUAGUCAAUCUUCUAAAAAACAGACUUUUGAAAUGGAUGCCAAGUCUACAAAUGCUGAAACAAGUGAAAGUGCAGCAUCUGAUGCUGCAGUCACAGAAACACUAGCUCAAGAGUCAGAUAGUGAUUAUGUUGCCAUACCAGUUGUACAUGAAGAUCAGAACUCUAGCGAACACUCGUCAACUCGACCCACCAGGAUCACAACAAGUAAGGUAGAACCACAGCCAACUUGUACUUUCUCUCCUAAGAAAAUCAGUCCAAGUGCCAAUUCUUCUUCAUCUGAGACAACAACCAUGAGUUUGAGCUCUAAUCUGGUAGAGGAAGUAGCUUCUAGUGAGAUAGCAAAAUGUAGUCAAUCUUCUAAAAAACAGACUUUUGAAAUGGAUGCCAAGUCUACAAAUGCUGAAACAAGUGAAAGUGCAGCAUCUGAUGCUGCAGUCACAGAAACACUAGCUCAAGAGUCAGAUAGCGAUUAUGUUGCCAUACCAGUUGUACAUGAAGAUCAGAACUCUAGUGAACACCUGUCAUCUCGACCCACCAGGAUAACAACAAGUAAGGUAGAACCACAGCCAACUUGUACUUUCUCUCCUAAGAAAAUCAGUCCAAGUGCCAAUUUUUCUUCAUCUGAGACAACAACCAUGAGUUUGAGCUCUAAUCUUGUAGAGGAACUGGCUUCUAGUGUAAUGAAGAAUACAUGUACAGGACUUGCUAAUCAACUCAGUAGUGAAUCAAAACCCACGGAUGCUGAAAAGAAAAAGGUUGAAUGUAGUCCAAAUGAAGCGGCAGCAUUUGAUGAUGCAGUCACAGAACCACUAACUCAAGAGUCAAACAUGCAUUUGAUCCAAAAAGGUGAAGAUAAUGGCGCCAUGAUAGAGGUACAUGAAGGUCUGGACUCUAGAGAACUCCAGUCAUCUCCACCCUUUAAGAGGACUCGAUUCCACCGAGUCAAACCAAAACCAAACCUUUCACAGAUAUCAAAAAGUGCACGUUCUAAACCUCAAACCACAAAAGAGACUAGUGAUUCUUCAAAGCUGGAAUCAACUUGGACGACAACAAGUAUGGUAAAACCGCAGCGAACUUGUACCUUCUCUCCUACGAAAACAAGUCCAAGUGCCAAUUCUGCUUCAUCUGUGACAACAACCAUGGACGUCGGCCCUAAUCUGGUACCUCCAGAAGAACUCACUUCUGGUGAGAUAGUGACAAGUACUGAACAUUAUGAACAGCUCAAUAUUGAAACAAAAUCCACAGAUGCUGAACAGAUUGAAUUUGGUUCAAAUGAAGAGGCAGCAGCUGAUGAUGCAGUCACAGAACCACUAGUUCAAGAGUCUAGCAUGCCUUUGAUCCAAAAAGGCGGAUUUAAUGACAACAUGCCAGAGGCACAUGAAGGUCAGGACUCUAGCGAACUCCAGUCAUCUCCACCCUUUAAGAGGAAUCGAUUACGCAUAGUCAAACCAAAACCAAACCUUUCACAGAUAUCAAAAAGUGCACGUUCUAAACCUCAAACCACAAGCGAGACUAGUGAUUCUUCAAAGCUGGAAUCAACUUGGACGACAACAAGUAUGGUAAAACCACAGCCAACUUGUACCUUCUCUGCUACAAAAACAAGUCCAAGUGCCAAUUCUACUUCAUCUGUGACAACAACCAUGGACGUCAGCUCUAAUCUGGUACCUACAGAAGAACUGGCUUCUGGUGAGAUAGUGAAAAGUACUGAACAUUAUGAACAGCUCAAUAUUGAAACAAAAUCCACAGAUGCUGAACAGAUUGAAUUUGGUUCAAAUGAAGAGGCAGCAGCUGAUGAUGCAGUCACAGAACCACUAGUUCAAGAGUCUAGCAUGCCUUUGAUCCAAAAAGGCGGAUUUAAUGACAACAUGCCAGAGGCACAUGAAGGUCAGGACUCUAGCGAACUCCAGUCAUCUCCACCCUUUAAGAGGAAUCGAUUACGCAUAGUCAAACCAAAACCAAACCUUUCACAGAUAUCAAAAAGUGCACGUUCUAAACCUCAAACCCCAAGCGAGACUAGUGAUUCUUCAAAGCUGGAAUCAACUUGGACGACAACAACUAUGGUAAAACCACAGCCAACUUGUACCUUCUCUGCUACAAAAACAAGUCCAAGUGCCAAUUCUACUUCAUCUGUGACAACAACCAUGGACGUCAGCUCUAAUCUGGUACCUACAGAAGAACUGGCUUCUGGUGAGAUAGUGAAAAGUACUGGAAAUGAUGAACAGCUCAAUAUUGAAACAAAAUCCACAGAUGCUGAACAGAUUGAAUUUGGUUCAAAUAAAGAGGCAGCAGCUGAUGAUGCAGCCACAGAACCACUAGCUCAAGAGUCUAGUAUGCCUUUGAACCAAAAAGGUGGAUUUAAUGACAACAUGCCAGAGGCAUAUGAAGGUCUGGACUGUAGAGAACUCCAGUCAUCUCCACCCUUUAAGAGGAAUCGAUUCCACCGAGUCAAACCAAAACCAAACCUUUCACAGAUAUCAAAAAGUGCACGGUCUAAACCUCAAGCCACAAAGGAAACUAGUGAUUCUUCAAAGCUGGAAUCAACUUCGGCGCCAACAAGUAUGGUAAAACCACAGCCAACGUGUACAUUCUCUCCUGAGGAAACAAGUCAAUGUGCCAGUUCUGCUUCAUCUGUGUUAACAACCAUGAACCUCAGCUCUAAUCUGGUACCUACAGAAGAACUGACUUUUAGUGAGAUAGAGACAAGUACUGGAUGUGAUGAUCAGCUCAGUAGUGAACCAAAAUCCACAGAUGCUGAAGAGAUUGAAUAUGGUGCAAACAAAGAGGCAGCAUCUGAUGAUGCAGUCACAGAACCACUAGCUCAAAAGUCAAGCAUGCCUUUGAUCCAAAAAUGUGGAUUUAAGGAUUCAAUGCCAGAGGUACAUGAAGGUCAGAACUCUAGCGAACUCCAGUCAUCUCCACUUUUAAAGAUAAAUCGAUUUCAACGAGUCAAACCAAAACCAAACCUUACACAGAUAUCAAAAAGAACACGGUCUGAACCUCAAGUCAUAGAAGAGACUAGUCAAUCUUCAAAGCUGGAAUCAACUUGGACGACAACAAGUAAGGUAGAACCACAGCCAACUUGUAUCUUCUCUCCAGAGAAAACAAGUCCAAGUGCCAAUUUUGCUUCAUCAGUGACAACAACCAUGAACUUGAGCUCUAAUCGGGUACCUACAGAGGAACUGGCUUCUAGUGGGAUGAAGAAUACAAGUACAAGACUUGCUAAUCAGCUCAGUAGUGAACCAAAACCCAUGGAUGCUGAAAAGAAAAAGGUUGAAUGUAGUCCAAAUAAAGAGGCAGCAUCUGAUGAUGCAGUCACAGAACAACUAGCUCAAGAGUCAAGCAUGCCUUUGGUACAAGAAUGUAAUAAUGACUCCAUGCCAGAGGUAGUUGAAGGUCAGAACUCUAGCGAACUCCAGUCAUCUCAACCCUUUAGAAAGAAUCGAUUCCACCGAUUCAAACCAAAACCAAAUCUUUCACACAUAUCAAAAAGUGCACGGUCUAAACCUCAAGCCACAAAUGAGACAAGUCAGUCUUCAAAACUGGAAUCAACUUGGACGACAACAAGUAACUUCCUUCCUGAGGAAGCAAGUCCAAGUGCAGAUUCUGCAUCAUUUGUUACAACAUCCAUGAACUUUAGCACUAUUCAGGUAUCUAAAGAGGAACUGUCUAGUGCGGUGAAGACAAGUACUGGACUUUCUAAUCAGCUCAGCAGUGAGCCAAAACCCACAGAUGGUGAAAAUAUUGAAUUUGGUCCUCAUAAAGCGGCAGCAUCUGGUGAUGCAGUCACAGAACUGCUAGCUCAGGAGUCAAAUACGUGUUCAAUCCAAGAAAGUGGAGGUCAUGACACCUUGCCAGAGGUUAAUGAAUGUCAGAGCUCUAGCGAACCCCCGCAAUUUCAGCCCACCAAGAGGAGUCGAUUCCAAAGGGUCAAACCAAAACCAAACCUUUCACAGAUAUCAAAAAGUGCACGGUCUAAACCUCAAAUCACAAAAGAAACAAUUAUGUCUACAAAUCUGGAAUGCACCGGCAAAAUAACAAGUAAAGUAGAAACACAACCAACUGGUACUUUCUCCCCAGAGAAACCAAGCCCAAAAGAUUCAGUUGUGACACCAUCCAUGGAUUCUAGCACCAGUCUGGUACCUAGAGAGGAACUGACUUCUAGUCAGGAGAAGAAGGCAGUUGAACUUGCUUACCAGGAAGAGUCUAGUUUACCAGUGGUGGAUGCGAGAAAAGAAAACACAGGAGUCAAAGAAGCAAUAUUUGGAGCUGCAAAUGAGACCGUGAGGUUUAAUGCAGAAGUAACUCAGAGUUCUUCUAAUAAUGUGGUACCAUCAGAUAUAAUCCCAGAAUGUCAAGUUGGAGUUGGAGCUAAUGCAAACAAGUCUACAAUUCACAAAGUUAGCAACCAUUUGGAAAAAGACUCAAAAUCCGAUUUAAAGUGUGAAUCUUCUCACGACCGAAGCGUUGAAGCUGCAUCACCAUCAACGUCUGAGACGAGUCAAAGUGUCACUUUGCCAUUGGAAAUAUGCCUUGCAUAUCAGCCUACAGAAGACUUGUCAUCGUCCAGAGAUAAAAACGAGGACGCUGACUCAGAGGCACCAAAACACACUACAGGAACAGAUCAAAGACAGCAAUGCCUCCCCAAAGUCAAACCCGCUUUGAGGUUCCCCGCUAGAGCGAUACGCUCAACAUCGCAGUCAAAAGAUGGUGGUGAAUCCUUUAAUAUAACCUCAGAUUGUCAAGUUGUAGAAAAAAAGAGUGCAGGCCCAUGUUUAGAAAUUGAUGAGAAAGUUGUCGUGGAAACUGAAGAAAAGAGCAAAGAAGAAGGCUACAAUGCUCCUUGUCAGGACAAAAUGGAGGAUAGGACCUACUUGAAAUCUGAUGACCAAAAUAUUGCUGCUGCCCCCUCAAACACACAGCUGCUUCGUCAAGAUACUGUCCCGGAACAUUCUAAAACUGUACAAACCAACCAAAUGAUGACAGAGACACAGCCCCUUCAAAGCGCUAACGAUCCGCCGUUGCCAAAAACCGCAACAACUAGAAGAAGCAGACUUGUUAAACCCAAACCCAACCUUGGAAAAAGUGGUCGGCAGGCCCGACUAGUGGCAGCCAAAGCAGAUUCAGAUGCUGUCAGAGCGCCUGGUUCUCAAGAGAUAUUGCCUGAGCCCGUGCAGCCAGUAGAGGGUGCUAUUGGGCUAUCGGCAAUGGAGUGUACCACCCAGGAUGAAUCCUCGUCAAGCACUGGACAGGAGCAGACUUUUGCAAGUCUCUCAAUACUUCAAGACGUAAUGUCAGUACCCUCGGAUCCUGACGAACCGUUUUUCAUCUUAUCCCUGACUGAGAUCCCAGUUGACACCAUCGAGGAGGUGUUGAACCCCACCGCCCAGCUGCCUCCUUUCAUCUGUGACCCAAAUCAGUCAAUGCAGCAAAGUCUUGCUGUGGAGAAUGUGAUAGCAGGGCCAGAUGGUUCCACGCCUGAUGUCCUUGUGUCCACCGAAGAGACGGCAACCACCAUGACUCCAGCCAUUGGGGAUCCUGUCGCCCCACCAGAGCGCCACCAAGGGUGUGUUUCAGCCGGACCAUCGAGCACAGCAAGUUCUCCCAAAAGCGGACUAGAGCCACAGACCCCAGACUCAACUUUGACUUGAUGAGUUGCGAGCUUGUCCCUCUUGAGGAGGCUAGAGCCUAUCCCAGCUGCACUUGGACGGAAGAAAGCUUGCUGAUACACGCCACGUCCACCAGGUGGUGCCAAACAACACACAAAGACCACAAUGGAAGAACAUCAGACAUCAGAGGAUGACAGUUUUACCUUGUUAAUGUUUUUAAAUGUCAUCAUCACUUUUGUUUAAUAAUCAUUGGUAUGAUUAGAUUUUUCUUCUGACCUUUGGAAAUGUUUAGAUCCUCCCCAAGUAUGUAAAGUACACGUUUUAUUUAUGUAUUUAUUGUGGCCCAUUCGUCUGCAAAGUUCCUUGGGUGAAUAAUGUCAACUCACUACACCGGUAUGUUUUAGUGCUUUCAUGGCGAGUUUACUGACAGAUAUAAGAACUUUACACUACUUUAUAUUAGAAAUGGCAACAGCGGAGGAUGAAUGUCACAUAACAAGAAGAUAGAGAAAAAGAAGAAGCUGAUCGACUACGGUGUCGGCACGGACUACAAUGGCGGACGCGCGCACAUUUUCAGGACUUAUGUAGAUCCGUAAUACAGAUCAGCAGGUACCAGAAGGUAAGAAAAGUUGCUUUUGCAUAAUAUUGUGAAACAAAACACCAGAUAAUAUGUCUGCUAAUGGCUGCCAUUUUGCGGUCCUUAUACACACACCAUAAUAAUACUUACAGUAUGUCGUAAUGGGCCGACAAUCCAUCAAGCGGCGCAGCUUCAAAGUCCUAUUAAAAACAUUUUGACAGAUUUUUGAGUGCCAUGUGUAAUGUUCUUUAUUUUUAAUGGAACAUGUAAAGUUUUGGUGUUGUUUACUGGCGUCAUAUUGCAGUCUAGACGUAUCUCUUAUAUGUGAGUGCCAUCUACUGGUCACACGUAUCAUUACACCAUGUACCAAAUAAAAUUGCUUUGAGGUCGGUAAGCACAACCAGAAUUAUUCCAUACAUUAAGCGCACCGGUUUAUAAGGCGCACUGCGCCUUAUAGUCCAGGGG